CAGUCGCCACGGUAAUACGUAGGGUGCAAGCGUUAAUCGGAAUUACUGGGCGUAAAGCGUGCGCAGGCGGUUAUAUAAGACAGAUGUGAAAUCCCCGGGCUCAACCUGGGAACUGCAUUUGUGACUGUAUAGCUAGAGUACGGCAGAGGGGGAUGGAAUUCCGCGUGUAGCAGUGAAAUGCGUAGAUAUGCGGUGGAACACCGAUGGCGAAGGCAAUCCCCUGGGCCUGUACUGACGCUCAUGCACGAAAGCGUGGGGAGCAAACAGGAUUAGAUACCCCAGUAGUCCCUGUCUCUUAUAC
Molecule: ribosomal RNA, 301 nt
Filed under: uncultured bacterium
Lineage: Bacteria
Description: partial 16S ribosomal RNA
Rfam family: Bacterial small subunit ribosomal RNA
Source: RNAcentral